Molecule: long non-coding RNA, 646 nt
Organism: Talpa occidentalis (Iberian mole)
Lineage: Eukaryota; Metazoa; Chordata; Mammalia; Eulipotyphla; Talpidae
Exons: 3
Source: RefSeq, a predicted model, not a curated record
UCCGGGGGAGCAGGGGGACCCCCGCGAGGCCGCUGCCUCCCAGGAGGCGCCACCUGGUGGAGACCGAAAGUAAAGGCGCCGGGAAAGGCCGGCCCGUGCUCCCCGCAGGUUCCCUGACUGGAGUCUCCCUGAGAAAGCUUUGACUUGGCGCUUUCGCAGGCAGCAACUCCUGGGCUCCCCCAAUCUCCGAGCGGAUCACUGAGAACACGAGAGCCCGAUGUGGGUGCUUCAAGUAACAAAGAAGAUUUCAACUGGGCUUGCACUCCCAGAAUAAUGGCUACUGCUGCUGCGGGCUGGCCUCGAGGCAGGAGGCCAAGAGGAGUGAGCCUUUCCUGAGGGAUGCAGACCUUCCCAGCGUUCAGCUUGUCCGGGGGAACGGAAGUCUCCACCGCCCCUCUCAUCCCGCACGCCACUCAACAGGGUUUCAACCAAUUCUUUGAAGGCAGCAGAACGAUGUCUAUUUCUCACUGUAGUGAGAUAUUUUGAUACGUACUUAUUAGACAACGUAGCGAUCGCUACACCUUCAAAACGGUUAAUAAGAAGGCUGCUGCAGCAGGUAGUCGUGGCCGAGUGGUUAAGGCGAUGGACUUGAAAUCCAUUGGGGUCUCCCCGCGCAGGUUCGAAUCCUGCCGGCUACGGUUUUAGC